AGCCGGGUUGCGUCCGUCCACCUGAGGUCAUGGAUGGGAUCGAUCCCAGCGACCGGAGGAGCGGGAUCAAGGGGAAGACGAGUCCAUCCGGUCGAUCUCAGCGAUCGGCGGAGCAGGAUCCGGGUCGAGCCAAUCCAAUCCAGAGGUGUGAGUUGCGGGCGAGGGAGAGACACCUGGUGUACUGUACUGGCCUAUUACCAUUCCUUCAUUUGCUUGAUGGCUGGUAAAGUCGCAAACCUCGCAGGUGCUAUGCGUUGGCAAUUGAUUUGAGCAUAUUCUGCAGCUUCCUAUUGUCCAUUCUUGUGCUCAGUCGUUCAUCAUCUGAAAUGACUUGUGGACAGGUUGAUGCUAUGCUUCAGGAAUUGGAAAAGGAGAUUGAUGAUGUGGAUGCACAAGUCAGAAACCGCUGGCAACUGCUUGAUAGGCUGCCAAUGUAUUGGAUAGGCCUAGAUGAAGGAGCAAUCAUCAAGCCACCCGCUCAUCAGGUGGUGGAAUGCCUGCUUGGUGGCUUCCCAUUCAUUCGCAGGAAUCAUCAUGUUCAACUUGGUACUGAGUUGAUCCUGCAAGCCAAUGAAGAUUCAGACGAUGUGGUUGCUCUGGAGGCUUGUGACUCUGGUUUGUGUUCUGUUAACAUGCAAAAUCUGGCUCAGGCAGGUGAUUUCGGGAAGGAGCAGGAAGCUGCUGUAUUGGUGCUAUAGCAGAAGAGGGAUGCAUCACGGGGGCAUUUUCAGGAUGCGGUUGAUUGCUUGAGGAAGUUAGCUCCUCCUUGGAUGGUGCAGUGCAGUGCAGCAAAUUGAAAGUUGAUUCAUUCAUUCUUGGGAGGAAUGAGCUUCUGCUAGCAAUGCUUGGAGGAAUCAGCUUAUCAAGGUAUGGUUGUGAAUUUAUGGGUAACGUUUUUUAGUGCGAGACAGAAGACCCCCUCUCCUCAAGCAGUUUCUUAAAUGGGCCGUCCAACACGGAUGACUAUCGGGUUCUUCUCCCUCUUUCCUUUUCCUUUUUUACCUCUUUUAUUUACAUUUCCAAAAUUGGAAAAAAUGAUAUUCAAAUUUUAAAGCUAAAACAAAUUGCAUUAAAAAAAUGUUCGGGACAUUUAAAAAUGUUCACGCUCUCAAACAAACUGUGGAAUUUCAAGAAAAUGUUUAUAAAAUGUAAAAACAGAAUAUUCGGUCAACUUUUAUAAAAUGUUUGUACCAUUCAAAAAAAUGUUUGUGACAUGUAGAAAAUGUUCACAUAUUCCCAAAAAUGACUGUGACAUUCCAAGAAAAAGUUUGAACAAUUUUAAAAUGUUUGCGUAAUUUUAUAAAAAAUAUUUCAUAUCAUUUAAAACAUGCGCAUGACAUUAAAAAAUGUUCAAACGUUCCAAAAAAUAGUAGUGACACCUUUUACAAAACAAAUUUUUAUACAACCUAAAAACAUGGUCAUUUAAUAUAAUUUUUUCUUUAAACAUUUAAAAAAUAUAUAUUUGACUUAAAAAACCCACACAUUUCAAAAAAAAAGUUUGUGACAUUUAAAAAAUGUUAAUAGACUGUAAGACAAAUGUUUGCAUAAUAUUAAGAAUUAUUUUUGCAUCAUUCAAAACAAAUGUUCAACAUGCAUUGGAAAAAUGUUAUUCAAAGGAAAUGUUCCAAACAUGUAAAUCGAAGAAUGUUCCAAAAAUUGUCAUGUAUUUGAAGUUUGAAGAAUGUUGAAUGUUUCAAAAACAACAUACUAAAUUUUUUUCAAAGAAAAUGUUCCAAAAAUGUCAUGUAUUUGAAGAAUGUUGAAUGUGUAUCGAAUUUUUUUACACAUGUAUACAUAAACGUGCAAACAAUGUACUUUUACGCGCAAGGAUCGUUUUUAUACUCUCGCAAUUUAGAUUUUUAGGUUGUUCAUUGUCUUGGCUUUGACGACGGCAAUGGCGGCGUUGAAUAAAAUUUCUCCAGAUCCUACUCCGACGAGGCGAUCGGUCCUAUGGUUGGGGAUGGGUUUGGAAAUCAGUCUGUUCAAGUAAGGAUGGCGUGGCGGCGGCGACAUCCUUGUGGUGGACCUGUGUCCUCGGGCUCCGCCUUUGCGACCGUGUUUGCUCCAUGGCAGCGCAGAGCUUGGGAGGAAGUCUAGGAGUAGAUGCAUAUUGUGGUCUGCAUCGGCGGCAUCUGGAAGAUUAUGAAUCGUGUGCUGGAUUCGUGGUUCAUGGAUGGCAGGUGUGGUUUUCUCCCCCGGCGUCUUAGUCGUGUGGGGUUGCCAGUUCUGGAGUUUGAUGGCGUGUCCGGGUGUUGCCCCGGUCUGAAUCGUUCAACAGUAAUGGUUUCGCGUUUGGUGAGCCAACCUGGAGGUCCGCAAAGUUGCAUAUCGGCGAUGGAGCCGCUUUGAGCUCGGGUGUGAAGGUGAUCCGCUAUUUUUUUGCUUUGGUGGCUGCUAUCGUGGUCCCAAAGGCAUGUGACAAGCGUUGGUGUCAAGUUCAGAGGUUUCUUCGGUCUUGAUUGUAAUUUUACU
Molecule: long non-coding RNA, 2472 nt
Organism: Triticum aestivum (bread wheat)
Lineage: Eukaryota; Viridiplantae; Streptophyta; Magnoliopsida; Poales; Poaceae
Exons: 8
Source: RefSeq, a predicted model, not a curated record